This is a non-coding RNA of Molossus molossus (Pallas's mastiff bat), 333 nucleotides long. RefSeq annotates it as small Cajal body-specific RNA 7. The record is from RefSeq and is a predicted model, not a curated record. The transcript has a single exon. Lineage: Eukaryota; Metazoa; Chordata; Mammalia; Chiroptera; Molossidae.
UGGAAAUGAUGAAAUAAAGAUAAUUGGGUGUUGAAUGUUGUAUGAUUGGAAAUUUUUAAUAUGUAAGUUAAGUAAUCUAGGUUUAAUAUUUUAUAGAUACUUAAUGUGGGGGGAGGGGUGUGUGUGUGUGUGCGCGUGUUCGUGGAGGCUAUGGAAAGGGGGCACUGACUGGUGAUGCUGAUAUUGGAGUGCAUCUGAGGCUGUUGUAGAAAUACAUGGGUUGUUGAUUACAACAUGGCCGAUGAUUAUAACCCAAGAACAGCUCACCUAAGUAGCCUAACACCCUAAAAUCUUUAACAGGUUCAUUAAACACGUUCCUGUGAUCUGAUCCGA